GGGUGUUGGGGAGGUUUUUUGGGGGGGAGGGGGAGCGUGUGGUAGAAGUUAGUAGGGAUUUAUUUGGUUCCUAUUUUAUUUUCAUGGUAGUACAGAAUUGGGAAGAUCAUGAGUGAUCGUACAUUCCAGCACAGUAGUUGGGGAAAUACACUUAAACGAUUGUUUGCAGACCUCCAUGAUAUCAGAGAAGAAGAAGAUAGCUAGCUAGUGACCGUAGACGGAAGUCGAGGAGUAAAGUCGGGCGAGGUGCAUCUGUGACAGCCGGAAGUCGGACACUAAUGUGGUUUUCUAACAGCAAGGCUCAGAUCAACAUGGCAGUGUUGGUUGAUUUAACCUGAGCCCUAGGACCAUGCCUUAGGACUACUUGGCCUGAUGACUCCUUGCUGUCUCCAGUCCACCUGGUCGUGCUGCUGCUCCAGUUUCAACUGUUCUGCCUGUGGCUAUGAAACCCUGACCUUUUCACCGGACAUGCUACCUUGUCCCAGACCUGCUGUUUUCAACUCUCUAGAGGCAGCAGGAGCUGUAAAGAUACUCUGAAUGAUUGGCUAUGAAAUGCCAACUGACAUUUAUUCCUGAGGUGUUGACCUGUUGCACCCACUACAACCACUGUGAUAAUUAUUAUUUGACCCUGCUGGUCAUCUAUGAACAUUUGAACAUCUUGGCCAUGUUCUGUUAUAAUCUCCACCCGGCACAGCAAGAAGAGGACUGGCCACCCCUCAUAGCAUGGUUUCUCUCUAGGUUUAUUGCUAGGUUCUGGCCUUUCUAGGGAGUAUUUCCUAGCCACCAUGCUUCUACACCUACAUUGCUUGCUGUUUGGGGUUUUAGGCUGGGUUUCUGUGUAACAAUUUGUGACAUCAGCUGAUGUAAGAAGGGCUUUAUAAAUACCUUUGAUUGAUUGAGUGUU
This is a long non-coding RNA of Oncorhynchus nerka (sockeye salmon), 904 nucleotides long. RefSeq lists it as uncharacterized. The transcript is spliced from 2 exons. The record is from RefSeq and is a predicted model, not a curated record. NCBI's taxonomy places the organism in Eukaryota, Metazoa, Chordata, Actinopteri, Salmoniformes, Salmonidae.